GGCGGUAUCCCCGAAUAGUCGGGUGGGGAGAGUCGAGCGUCAUUGGAGGCGGAGAAGCGGGAAAAAGGGGGGUCCGGGAAAACUUGGCACUCCAUUUGCUCCUUUCUUCACAGGUACUAAUCACCAUCAUGCCUACUUCCGAGCCCCCCAAAAGCAGGCGGGAGGCAGUCUAUUCCUCCCCUGCUAGUUCUGACGACGAGGGGGCCGGCAAGUCUUCCACUUUCUCCCUGAUCUCUGACAGUUUCCAUCCAGAGUUAUCAGAUUUCCACCAUGGGGGAGAGGGAGAAACAACAACAACUAGCAGGGGAUCGAGCAUCCCUCAGAAGAUGAAACACCACCAUAGUCUGGAACAAAUUAAGGAUACAAAUAAACUUUCACCUGUUCACAAUAGUCUUUCACCAUGGGAAGAAUGGUUCCUUUGCAAAGAGAGAGAACUACGUGCUCGUUUACAAAUGAAAGCUUUGGAGGUGAAUACAUAGCUUAUUAUCUUUAUAGUUAACAACAGAUUGUGAGACAUCAAAAUGCAUACUUUCCCGAUUAUUUUUUAAAAUACAGAUUGUUUUUUAUAUUUUGAUCAUAUUUGUCCUGCUUUUUAUUUGCUGAUUAUGUCCUGAUUCAUUACUAGUAGUGAAUAUUUUUACUCUGUUUUUAUUUAUGUUAUGCUGAUAGAAGCUAUUACUUGAAUUUUACUUAAUCAACUCCCUCCUAAACGUUUAAAUUUAAAAUGUAAUGCUUUAAAAAAAAAUGCGUACAUACGUAUUGAAGCUUUAACACAUUAAAAAUGUGUGCUGUUCAUGGGUAAGUGAAGUUUUAUGAUCCAGGGUAAGAGAUGGUUGGCUAUAAAAGUAUAUUAUGGUUGACAUAUGUUGUGAUAAACUGUAGUAUGUUACAUGACUGUUAGAGAAAUAUGUUGUGCUUUUGUCCCUUUCAAAAUUAAAUUUAUUUCUAAAAAGUUUUAUAUUAGUACCCUUUUUACUUGUGAACUUAUCUAAUUUUCUGGUAAUAUUCAGAAUAGUCUCACUUCAUUUUGUGAGAUGAUGCAGUCUUAAUAUUGUUUGCACUACCUGCAUUUUAUGAAAAAUUCUGUCGUUUCAAUGCUAUCUAUGCUGAUGGACAUUUUUGACUAUAAUUAACAGUAAUUUUUGAAUGACUGGUAAAAGACUUUAUUGUCCCAACUAUUUUAUCUACUUAAUGUAAACCUUCCUGCAGUUUACCAGGUAUGGAUCCUAGCUACUGAAGAAACAAACGGCUUUUGGCAAAGAAGAAAAUUUGUUGCUUUAGAUUUUCAAUUUAUUGUAAAAAAAAUUCUGAGCAAUCUUUAGGAAGUCAGUUUGGCCUAGACUAAAGAAAUAAUUUUCUCUAAGUCCAAACCAUUGUUAAGUAAAGAAAUGAGGGUAUGAAGUGGUUCUUCAAUUUUGUUAAACAUGUUAUAUUAAUUAAGCAAUAGUUGCUGGGAUGAAACGUAGUAAGCCACAAAUCAUCUUUUAAUAGUACAAUCAUCCAAAUUUUCAUGUUUGUAUCAUUACUAUAAAAAACAUAGAAACCUCUCCCAGUUUCUUCACUGAGAAAUGUCUGUAGCAGCCCUUGCCUGCAAGCCAUGCCCUCUGCAUAUCACAAAGGGAGUUUUUGUAAAUUUUGUAAGUUCCCUAUUGAACAAUGCUUCUGUCCUGGUGCUGGUGGGGCUGAUCAAGUGGAAGAUGUUAUCAAUUAUAUCCUCCACUGCUUCGUUUACAAUGGGAUUAGGCCCAAAUUAUUAAUGACAGAUGAACUCAGAGCCUCUAACCUUGCAAAAUUAAACUGUUUCAACAGUCAGGAAACAAAGUUGUUGUCAUUUGCACUUAGAAAUACUUAAGAUCUUAGUUGUAGCUUUGACUUUAUUGUAACCUUUUUACUUCUAAUACUUCUAUUACGCUGUUUUAUAAUUUCAUUAUGGUUAAUUUAUUGUAUUUUAUGGCAUCUUCAUAUGUUGUGAACUAUGGUUACAAGAAUAAACAUAUUUACAUUACAUAAAAUCA
Molecule: long non-coding RNA, 2015 nt
Organism: Notechis scutatus (mainland tiger snake)
Lineage: Eukaryota; Metazoa; Chordata; Lepidosauria; Squamata; Elapidae
Source: Ensembl